RNAcentral lists this ribosomal RNA (318 nucleotides) under uncultured eukaryote. RNAcentral's name for it is "partial 18S ribosomal RNA". It matches the Rfam family "Eukaryotic small subunit ribosomal RNA", at positions 1470 to 1796 of the family's 1831-position model. The record is from RNAcentral.
CCCUUAGAUGUUCUGGGCUGCACGCGCGCUACACUGAUGCGUUCAACGAGUUUAUGACCUUGCCCGAUAGGGUUGGGUAAUCUUUUUAAAUCGCAUCGUGAUGGGGAUAGAUUAUUGCAAUUAUUAAUCUUCAACGAGGAAUUCCUAGUAAGCGCGAGUCAUCAGCUCGUGCUGAUUACGUCCCUGCCCUUUGUACACACCGCCCGUCGCACCUACCGAUUGAAUGGUCCGGUGAAAUCCUCGGAUCGAGCCGUGGGGCAACUCCGGUUCGAGAAGUUGAUUAAACCUUACCAUUUAGAGGAAGGUGAAGUCGUAACA